Long non-coding RNA from Dromaius novaehollandiae (emu), 9145 nucleotides. RefSeq lists it as uncharacterized. Lineage: Eukaryota; Metazoa; Chordata; Aves; Casuariiformes; Dromaiidae. The transcript is spliced from 5 exons. The record is from RefSeq and is a predicted model, not a curated record.
CACCUUGAAUACAAGAAAAGCAGACAUCGAAGAACUCAGAGAGAGUAGUACUGGAAAGUAGGAAAGUACAACAGAGGAGAAUACCACAGGAAACUUGAUUGCUGUGCUGGUUGCUUCACUUUUCCUGCUCUGCACACCAGAGGGAGGCUGAGAUACUCCAGAUGCUACAGCUUCAAGAAAAAAAGAAAUACAGCAAGAUUCAAAAGCUGAUAAUUUACAAUACAGCUACUGUAUGUGUUAGUGCAUUUCAAGCCCUCUAACUACUACCUAGGGGUACCCUGUACACUGCAAAAAGGAGGAGAAAACUUCACUUGGCACGAUUGGAGCAGAUAAGCCUCAUCUUUAUUGGUACCCAUAUACUGAUGAUAAGAUAUCAUAAAGAGGUGGUCCAGACUUGAUGUUAAAGUAAAAGCAUUUCUGGCAUAACACUCAUAGUUGUAGCUUGGGUGAAGACAGACUUAUUUCAGUGCCUUACAUGAGACUCCAUGAGAACAAAGUACCCCAUAUCUUGGACAAUAACUAGGUGUGAAGCAGUUGUGCAGUGGGUAUAUAAUAAUAGUCUCUCCUUAUACAGCAGAUCUGUCUCUAGAACUAAUUCAGCCUUAUGUAUACACUGGUGCAAACUACUAAAGGCAAAUUAUGACAUUAUACUUCACAAGUCCUCCAAACAGAUUCUCUUGCUGUUGGAUACAGCUGCAAUCUCAAAUCCCAAACUGAGGUUGUGGAGUUGGUGUUUUAGGAAAAGCAAUGUCCAACUCUCUAGAACUGUUAAUGAAGCACAUGAAAUCAGAUAGGAAAAUCACCUCUUAUUUGUAUGGGUUUGGUCAUUUCCAUGAGGAAAACCAGCAGAGCUUCCUAGCAACUAUAGCAGCUAUCUAGAAAGCAGUGCUGAUUCUCUCUCUUGUUCUUCAGAUAAGCAAAUCCUGGGAAUGUGGUAGAGAAGGUGUGCAUAACAUGCUGCUCAACAGCAGUGUGUCCACCCAAUUUGACUGUGGAAUACAGGGAAGAAGGUUUGUCCAGAAAGCCUAUUAGCAUGGCAUGGGAUACUCAGACACCCAAAGACCAAAAUGGGGAGUAAGGGAGAGGAGAAGUCAGAAGAAUCAUCUUCUCCACUGAGAUAGUAAAGCUUUAACUUUGCAAACUGUUUACUUUGGGGUUUCCUCUAGGUACAAGUAAGGGCCACAGCACAACCCAUGGGGUUGGGUUUUGUUCCUUUCUGACCCUCAAGAAGGGGUUUUAUUCAGUCAUUGGAAUGGGGAAGUCUGGCAAAUCUGAUCCUUUCCAGCUCUGCUGCAGACAUGCUGUUUACUGCCAGGCAGGUCCUAAAUCUAUCCAGACCUAAGGAGUAAAACGAGGUCACACAGGACCUUUCCUAGUAUGUUUAAAUACUCUUCUCUUUCUCCAUACAGACACUCUGCAUGAAUGUGUCAUUUUGAUGAGUCUGUGAGGAAAUGUUGAAAGUAAGUGCAUUUGAGGUGAAAAUGUUCUAUUAGGCAAAAAGAAAAAAAGAAAAAUGGAAAGGGAAUGUUUUAAUUUUUAGAAUGAAAACCAAACAGCAGAGCUUCCUGUGAAAUGGAAAUUCUGUUUCCUUUCAGUGCUAAUGAUAGCAUACUAGCUGUGCUCAUUCAUGGUCCCACUGCUACAAUGGUGGGUGCGGAAUUCUCUCAGCAUGGCGUAUUUCUCUGUGGUUUACUGUCCUGCUACUCCGAGCACCAUAGUAGCUAAAAAUGUCAGCCCUCUUGACCAACAAAUACUAACUGUGCUUUCCUCCAUCCCCUCCACUUCAGUCCUCUUAGGCAACAGGCAAUAUAAUCAUAGCGCAGUUUUCUUAGGGACAGGGUAAGGGCCUCUGCUGAAAUACAGCUGCCCUGCAGUGUGGAGAAGGACAUCAUUCCCCUAAGAUCUGGCAGGAUACAGUAACUAGACCUGCAAAUGUGCUCAUCACAGCAUCUGGCUGACCAGAGCAAAAGGAAGAAAUGGCUCCUGACCUCCCCUGUCUAAGAUGGUUGAGGGAGGGGAUGUGUUUGAACCUGAUGAGGUUUAUAUAGCCUCCUGCUGCAAUGGAGAACAGAGAACUCCGAGGAAUUUUCUCCACACUACUCUGCUUUUUGCUAGUGGGGUUAGGACAGGACCCAGGGACUCUUGUGGCACCUGCACCUGACACAGCAUGGGCCUUUACUGUAAAGACCAACAGCCCAGUGCUCCCCAAAUGUCCCUGAUGAGGCCAUUGCAGUGUAGGGACAGCACAGGUCCUGGGACUGGGACUGUGUGCAGCAGCUGUGCGCAGAAGAGAAGUCGCCAAGCAAGCGCAGAACUGCUCUUGGCCCUGGAAAAGCUCUCCCUCUGCUGAGCUGGUGUAGCAACAGGUAAAAUGAAGAUCUAUCAGGAGCUAGGUGCAGAAAGGAGACAUGGGAAUGGAGGCCUCAAAAAAAGAAAUUAAAUUUGUUAGUAGGUGCAAAGAAGAGGGGAGCCUUCUCAAAAUAAACCUGGUUGCUGCACCUACAUGGCUAAGGGAACCCAGAGCACCAUAGGGAGCCAGCAAAGUGAAACCCAGUCUUGGAUUGCUUCCCCUUGCUUUAUGAGUAAAGUUCACAUGUCUCUGUGCUCCCAAGCUCCUACAGAGAGGCUGGAAAGAGAAGAGCCAUAACAACUGUUGAAUAUUUGCAGUAUUUCCUACUCAGCUGGCUGCAGAAAGCCACAAGCAGUUUCAGUGGAUGCCUUAACUCACAACAUUUGCAGCAAGGUUUAGUACAGCUAUGAGAAUUAGACAGCCUGGACCAAUUCCGAAGGUGUAAAUUAAAAAACUAGCGCAAUUUUUUCUCAUCCUUUUUGUACCGUGAGUGUUAAGAAGAUUUAGUGGCUAUUUUUAUUUAAGAGUGGCUUUGCUUUCAUUAGUGCCAACCUUAUGCAUUUUUAAUAUGAACUCUUGGUUUUGGUCUGUUUUUGGUAGAAGCUUCAAUGAUUUCAAAUUCUUUUCAGCAGUUAUAACACUAGAAUGAAAACUGCUUCUCAAAUCUACUUCGCCUCAAGGAGCUGGGUCUUCAAGAAAAGAAACAUGAUCAGCAGACUCACAAAAUUGUAUGAGCUGGUAACAGCAGGGUUUUGCUGCCCGAUCUUAAGCAAUUACAACUACUGCUUACAAUGGGGUAUGUUCCUGACAGCAGAAUGGCAACAACUUUAGGUACUGGCCCCUAAGGAGCAGUGAAACCACACUAACCAUACUGAGAAAGUGAGCCCAACUAUCUUGCUUCUGUAGGUUUUUCAGAAAUAGUGUCUUCCUGCCAGAGACGUGAUGGAAAUCAGCUGGCUAGGUCAGCCCUCUGCCCUUCUUUCCCUAGCGCUGGUAAUCCUCAUGUGUCCCAUUAGAGCAAAGAGCUGCCAGUUAUGCCAGUAACAAAGCUCACAACAGCUCUGCCUGCUAUUGCUGAAGCAAAUGGGGAAAUGACAGAACUUCUUGUUCCUGUUGCCCAGAAGCAUUAAAUCUGUUUUUUAAAGCAAAAGACUGUAACAACUCUCUAUGUCCUGCUCACGCUGUCUGUGAAAAGCUCUCAGGAAGAAGUAGACAGAGCAGGGAACUGGGAGGUGGGAACUCAAGUCUUUGCUCUUGGCUCUAUUUUGGUCUAAUAUCUUCUCAUCUGUGGAACAUUAACCACUUUUUUGGAGGGCUGGAGUGGGGAGGGAAGACCAAGUGCACCACUUAAAAGAUGUCUGGGGAGAUGAGAUGUUUUAAAAAUAUGCAUAGAUGCAGCAACCUACAGAUGAUCAGAAAACCUGGCAACAUGGGGAAAGAGUGUGAAAGAGAGGUAAAGGGACUCAAUCUGGAGAAGGAAAGUCUUAGGUUAAACACUUCAGAGAAACUUCUUGACUGUCAGACCCGCCAUAUGUGUUAUACGUGUCUCCUAAAAGGAAAUGGAGGGCCCAUCCCUUGCUACUCUGAAAGCACCACUGCACCACACAAUGGAAAACACCCUGGGGGUGCAGGCCUCUCUGUGCGUAGAGGAGAGCAGAUGGGGUAGAGCGUCCGUGACACGACAAAAUAUGUUUCACCCCUAAUUUAGUCUUUGCUCUGUAUGUGACUUCCUGUGUACAGCAGUUGUAGCAAAUUAAGAGUUCGACUCCCCUUCCCCUCUGAGACAUCACAGGAUGCUGCACAGCGAAAAAGAAUAAAACAAGCAUUAAUAGUUACUGAUCCAGGUUCUGCCAAAUCUAAAAACCGUUAUAAAGGAUUAUAAUUGUCAUGCUACAUACAGUUUAUGCUGAUUUGGUUUGAUCAGUGCUCAGUCCUUCCCCACACCAAAAUCUGCUUCGAUAGCCUGUCGAGGACUUUUCUUGUAAUGAACAUGCCUGCUCUUUUACCCUUGCCUGUAGGGCAGGCCAGCACAGAUAAGAAGGACUGUGAUGUUAACACCUGGGUGUUACCAGAACUGCCCAGCUGAGCUAUAUGCUGGAAAUCUUCAAAGAAAAAUUAUAGUGGUGCCUCAAGCACACUGUUCCCUCACUUUGUUGCAUGUCCCCUGCUGCUGGGGCCACACCAACACACACACAAAAGUUUCCAGGAAGACAUUAUAAAAUAUUUAGUAAGAUCUGUGUUUAGCUGAAAUACCAAAAGUUCUCUUUCGUCAUUUGAGGUUUUGCCAAUGUUGCAAUUGCCUAUCUUCUCUGCCUCUCCUAAAAAUAAAUGUCUUUUUUCCUCUACCACUUAAAAAAAGUUUGAAAAUCUAGCAAAUCCAGUCUCACGUGAGUGAAGCAAGCACAAUCACUCCCAUUUUAUAUGAAUGGGAAAAGAAGCAAGGAGUGCUGAAAUGCCUCGUUGCAGAGUGUGCUACAUGGGAGAAGGCUUGGACUUAAACAGCAGGGAAUCCUGACUCCUAUUUCUGUACUCCUUUCCAUCAGCAGCAUGCCCAGUAACAGCCAAGAGCUCCUCUACUCUUGAAGUUCGAGGCACACAGCGGGAAGAAAGGAGAGAGGUGUCCUCGGGGCAAUCUUUCUUCCCCACCCCUUUCCCUGUUAUCUGUGGGAAAACUUCAGGCGAGCCAGAGUAAAAUCACGCUGCUGUGGAGGAUCUUCUGGGAUAAAGCAGCAUCUAUAAGAUUGUCUAAGGUGUUCCUAUAUGCAAAAAAAUAUUUCUGUAUCUGUUCUGCUCAGGAAAAAGAAAUCCAGUCAUCACAAGUGCCAGUAAAACAGACUCUAGGGGGAAGUUUCAUCUGAGUGAUAAAACGAUGCAUUUGUGGACCUCUGGAUUUUGCAGCUUCCCACACAAUUCUUUUCAAUACGAGUGAGAUCAGACCAGAAAGUUCACUUCAGGCCAAAUGACUGCUGUUCCUGCUACAUGCAACAUGUGGGGGAGAGGCACAAGGCAACCAUUCACCCUGUCAUACCUGCAAAAGACGUAGCAGAACUAGUUCUGCCAUGCAGAGAAACACUUUGUGUAAUACUUGCUGGCAUCUUGCAUUUUGGCGGUAAAGGACGGACCACGGUGCUCCUAUAGGAUGCUAGAUCAACAGAAAGGAGAUGCAGGGACAUGGCAAUUCUUUGUUUAGAGAGCACUGCAGAAGAAAGCCUUUGAGUGUAUGUGAGACUUUGAUUCAGAUAUUCGUGUCCCCAUGGCUGUAUAAUUUGGGUGUGUCUGUGUGGGUGUUGAAUCUGGGAAAGUAUGUUUGUGAGGGUGGUGGAUUAGCAAAGGGUGGAGGGAGCUGUGGGUCUCUGCAAGACUGAUUUAAUCUCUGUACUUUCUGGAGGUGUUUGGUCAGAAUAUAUUAGGCCCUGCCUGUCAGUACCAGUACCUGAGACUUCUGUCUGUGUAUCUGUCUGUAUUUGGUGGGUAAUGUCCACAGCAUUUUUCAAAAAUUUAAUAUUAUUAACCAGCAUCUGUUACCAACUUGGGUUUUUUUGACCCCCUCGAAACUGGGGUAUCAACCUUUCCUGCUCCCACUCAAGUAACUUAAUUCUCAACUGAAGAAAAGGGGAUAGAGUAACCACGGAAAAAAACACUUGUAUUUCAAAGAUCAAUCAACUCUAAAAGCCAACAUCCUGUUUUGUGUUGGGUUUAUACCUCAGUGCCUGUAGCCCUCCUCUGACAAUGGCAAGCUGACAAGAAGUGAACAUGAGCAGUAUUUUCUAUGGGAAACUUGCUUUUUGAACCCGCCUUUUCAAUAACUGUGCUCUGAAAUAUCUGCUCCCGCCAACCCAACCCUAGCCCCUCAGCAUUAAACUAGCACUGCAAACUUUAAACCUCACCCUCCUCUUCAGGGAGUUAUCAGCAGGAAAUGAAGUCAGCUGGAACACUUUGUACUAUUGACAUUUUUUGCUCUAAUUCUGCAGCUGCACUUGAGCACAUCUGAAAACGCACAGGCACACACACUCACAUACGUGCUCAUGCGCGUGCACACACACGCGCAAGCACGCAGGCUAGCAUGCCAGGCAUUGUAUACCUCUGGGAACUGAUGUGAAUGGAUAAGCCCCAUUACCAAAGAUGCUGUAACUAAAUGGAGGGACGUGGUUAUAAGUGAUUCUAGCUAAGCUGUACUGGACAGAGAGUGCAAGAUAUAGAGUGUUGCAUGGUGGCCACAUAAUAAAAUAGCUGAUAGAGAGAUACUAACUGAAAGGUUGAAUCAUUUCACGUUUCUUUUGCCAGCUUGUGUCUGACUGCUAACAUCAUGGCUCUGUACAAAUUAACCAGGCUUCUUGGCUCCCAGGUUUUGGGCAAUAGUCUGUCCCUAAAAUGAAGUAAACAUAGGAAAAUGCUGUACUGUACAGGGAGCAUUUCACCUACAAUGCUUUGCCUCAGCGGCUCUGCUCUUAGCAGCAGGAUCACACUGAGAUACACCAUCCUCAUUCAUACCAGGCAACUCAGGUCUGGUCAGUGGUGUACAGAUGGCUAGUGUCAUCUCUUGCAGCACUUGAAUUUCUUUGAAGAGCUCUUAUUUCCAAGUGCCGAUCCACUUGACGUCAGAGAACAAACUGAACUGGGGUACUAAAAGGCACGGCUUCAUCCCAUUAUAUUUACACAGUGAUGGGACAAAUAUUACCAACAUCAAUCAUUGCCAGCCUGUUUCUAGACUGGAUAACUCUUCUACUAGUUACUAGUUUUAUUAUGAAACAAGACGAAAUAUAAAUAAAUAAAAAGUUACAUGCAGAACAUAAGAGCUGACACAAUCCCUAGUAUCCAUGCUGGAUACAACUACGUUUUGUAUUGUUUUCAGGCCAGUCCUACUGAACACCUCUCAACGUCAUAGAAACCAGUGGCAGAGGUGGCCCUCUCAACAGCUUCCUCAGCAUGCAGGCCAAGGUCUGACUGAACAGCAGAUUUUUCUGACUGAAAACUAAACACCAUUUCUGAUGCCUAGCAGGUUAUGCUUAGAGAAAGUUUACAUUGCCAUUGUCUGUGUGGCAGCUAUUAAAAAGAUAAAAAGGCUUUUUGCUGAAUGCCAGUCCAGCACUGUAUUCAUUUUACCUCUUGUUUAAUAAAUAUACAAAUGAAAGGAGCAGAAGAUAAAUUCCCAGGCAACUUGAAUUGGGAACUUUGAGGACAAGAAUAAAUAAAUGCAUUACACACAAGCAUGCAACACUUUUCUGUGUUCGGCAAAGUUCUGUGUUGUAUGCAAUUUCCUAAUAGUAGUUGCGCUGCAUAGUUGGACAGGGCUGGUAUCUCCUGAAGCUGAUAUCUCACCAAUGUUUUUAGAAACAAUUUGCAUGGUGGGGCUCAUGUGGCACCAAGCAUUGGCACUUCAAAGCACUGAGUACUUCAGCUUUUGCCAGAGCUGACUCAGAGGUCAAUUGCUUCUGUCAAAUACAGCAGCAAGUAACUUUAAUCACUUAUCACUUGAAGGCAGAGACCUGGCCUAGCUCACAAAUCAAGCACUAUUCACAGUAAGACUGCACAGCCUGCAAGUGUUAUCUGCUCGAGGAAAGGGUCCUGUUCUUGAACAGACUACAUGAUCUAGACAGGAAGGCUGGCCCAGCUCAGAGCUAGACUGUAUAUCUGAAGAGAAAACUUGCCUGGCCCAUAGCACAACUACACUAUCUAAAGAGAGAGCUGGCUCAGGGAAAAAUCUACUAUAAAGAUGGCAGAGAGAACAUGACGACACAUAAGCUGGAUGGAGACCUUGCACGGCUUCUGGCUAAAAUACACGUUCUGCAGAGAUGUGGCUUCCAGAUUCAGCUUGUGGCCCAUGGCAUGUAAGCCAGGCUGAAAUUAAGAUCAUUCCACUAACUGGCCAACCCCCGUGGAGGGAGUAAAGUGGCUCAAUCUAUGGCAAGAUAUUACUGUACAUUUAUUGUUUUUGUAACGUAGAUAAGAACACGAGUUGAAAAGGAGAACUAGCGGCUAGCAAUACUUUCUUGAUCUUGUUACGCAAGGAUCCUGGAAGACCCUCAACUCCUUGCAUCAGAAUAGAAAGAGCCCUUCUCCUUUCUCUGAGAUGUAGUUGAGGAAGUGAGAGAGGCCUGGAGAUUUACUCCAGAUAAUACAUUGCUUCAGAGCAAGCUGAAGGAGUUAAAGACCUUGUCCUUUGCCCUGCAAGUUUGCCCAACACUGCUCAGUCAGGGAGCACAGUGUCAAUACAAGCCCUGUUCAGUCAGUGCAACGUGCGAUACAGGCUAUACGCUGGUGUGCAUUGCUUGCUGCAGACAGCACUCAGCUUAAUAAAUCCUAUUCUCCUUAGCACAGAGAGCCAAUACUAUUCACCUUAAUAAAUCCCAUUCAACCCUGAACACCCAUCGGACUCAUCAGCCCUGUGCCCGUGAGGAGACUGUGAGCAGGUGCACUGCACCCAGCCACUGCAAGCUGAGCAGCCGAGGCUGGGACAACAGCACCCCUUCGUGGGUGCUGACAGGGAAGCCAGUGAGAGCCUUUCAAGGCUGAAAUGCGAGAGAAGGCCAAGGAAAACCUGGUGCAUGUGUUGCUACUGUUUGGAUGACUCACUUUCUCUUGUCCUCUUAAAUCCCACUUUGCACGUCCAGUUGUGGCAGAGGAAGUGCAGGAUGAUUUUGUGUGCUCUCCAAAAGGUUCAUUUUGAAUCUCCUUUCACAGAGUGGUCAGUGAUGGGGCUGUGCACUACCAGUAACAUGCACUGCUCCUGGCAAACGAGAGAUGGCUACACUCUGCAAAUACAUUCUGUUAAUAAAUUUAAACUGUAUAACAUAA